GGCCCAGUGGUGUACUGCCAACACAUCCUCUCCCAAUUUGCACUUUUCUGUUUGGAAUAUAUGAGGAAGCACCCCGUUCGACUCGGGGCUGGGCCA
This is a non-coding RNA of Mycena galericulata, 96 nucleotides long. NCBI's taxonomy places the organism in Eukaryota, Fungi, Basidiomycota, Agaricomycetes, Agaricales, Mycenaceae. The record is from the annotation of a GenBank genome assembly.